AACGAACGCUGGCGGCGUGGAUAAGACAUGCAAGUCGAACGGAUGUUCUUCGGAACAUUAGUGGCGAACGGGUGAGUAUCACGUGAGAAUCUGCCAAGAAGUUUGGAAUAACUCAUCGAAAGGUGAGCUAAUACCGAAUGUGGAACAUGUUCUAAAGGUGGGGACCUUCGGGCCUGCCGCUUCUUGAUGAGCUCGCGUCCUAUCAGUUAGUUGGUGAGGUAAUGGCUUACCAAGACUAAGACGGGUAACUGGUCUGAGAGGACGAUCAGUCACACUGGAACUGAGACACGGUCCAGACAACUACGGUUGGCAGCAGUCGAGAAUCAUUCACAAUGGGGGAAACCCUGAUGGUGCGACGCCGCGUGGGGGAUGAAGGGCCUAGGUCCGUAAACCCCUGUCAUUUGUGAGAAAUUCACCCGAAUUAAUACCUCGGGUGUUGAUAGUAGCAAAAGAGGAAGGGACGGCUAACUCCG
This 473-nucleotide ribosomal RNA is filed under the name uncultured Verrucomicrobiota bacterium. Its description in RNAcentral is "bacterial SSU rRNA". It matches the Rfam family "Bacterial small subunit ribosomal RNA", at positions 29 to 505 of the family's 1533-position model. The record is from RNAcentral. Lineage: Bacteria; Pseudomonadati; Verrucomicrobiota.